Non-coding RNA from Pogona vitticeps (central bearded dragon), 255 nucleotides. The record is from RefSeq and is a predicted model, not a curated record. NCBI's taxonomy places the organism in Eukaryota, Metazoa, Chordata, Lepidosauria, Squamata, Agamidae.
CCUCCCGCCGGGCGUCAUAAGAGAGCGCAAACUGCGGCGGGGGUUCCUGCCUUCCCUCCCCCGGCGCCGGGUGAUGAUCCAGUCCCGAGGAGGCGGGGCAAAGGAGCGAAGAGGAAAACAGCGGAGCCCGUGUGAGUGAGGACAUUGCAGCUGCUCAGCUAGGCCUCUGUCACCAUGGGUGAAAGAAAAGGAGUUAAUAAGUAUUACCCACCAGAUUUUGAUCCAGCCAAGGUAAGAUGGGGGUGAGGAUUCUCU